Long non-coding RNA from Suricata suricatta (meerkat), 1120 nucleotides. RefSeq lists it as uncharacterized. NCBI's taxonomy places the organism in Eukaryota, Metazoa, Chordata, Mammalia, Carnivora, Herpestidae. The record is from RefSeq and is a predicted model, not a curated record. The transcript is spliced from 2 exons.
GGCCCCAAGUGGGCAACGGUAUUAUUUAUCAGAGAAGCUGAUGUCCCAUCGUUUGGCUGUCUCCAGACAUGAUUCAUUAAUGGAGAAAACAAAAGGCAGCAGCAGCCUGACCCGGAAACCAACCUUUUACUGAGGACACACCACCCAGGAUGGUAUCAAUCUCGCAGGACGCCGGACUGCUAUCUCUAGUGACAGUUGAGAAAGCGAACCAGUAACGUCUGGAACACUCAGCCGGAAAUGGCCAGGACUUGAUUAAAAACUGACAGCUUCCCUAAUUUGUGUCCCUGCAUCCAAUUUGGGACCAACCCGAGAAAGCCAAGUAUGCUCCCCUGCCAAUCACCAAAUACCCCGCUUGUAGCUGGUGCCGCUGUGGCUUUCCCACACCAGAGCCUGCAGUUCGCCCCGCCUGCCUCUGAGCCUUUGCCAAAGCGCAGGUUACACGGUCGAUCCCUUUGCUACAGCGACCUCCAAACAGCGUGUGCGCCUCUCAUUUGCCGCCUUCAUUUAUCUCUAUGAUCUUUUCCUUCUCCACCUCUUUCUUUACUGUUCCUUUUUCCAGCCCUUCAAACAAAAACAAGCCAUCAGAGAGAGGUCUGCUUAGCCUUGCCUUCCGUGAUUUUAAUUCCCUGCACAGUCCAAAUUUGCUUUCUUUUGUCCUAGUUGCCAUUGUCAGUCUGCUUUCCAAUCUCUCAUUUCCUCAGCUUCCUAGUAAUUAAUGAUACGCAUUGAGAGAUGACGUUCUCUUGAAUCAGGAAGGGAGGAACCUUGGCCCUUGAAGGCAAGAACCAUACACUAAGAUUCUUUUUAUUUUCUGUACCACUUAGGACAGGGCCUUGCUUUUUACAGGUAUGCAGUAAAUAACUGCUGAAUUUAAAAAACCCUGGUUAUAUAAUAAGUUUACCUACCAUGCACUAAAGUAUCUAUGACAACACAAUUAAAUGUAUCAACAUCACUUGCAAACUGCCGUUUCUUUAUGGUGCAGAAUCUCAGUACUUUACCUUGAGGCUGCCUGGUUAUCAGCCUACUUAUUUACUGUUAUGACAGAAAUAAAUUCCCUUUAAAAGUAUUACUUUAUAAAGUUCUUAUCUGCCAGAUCUCAAUUAAAAUGCAGAAAAUAUGA